AUUGAACGCUGGCGGCAUGCCUUACACAUGCAAGUCGAACGGCAGCACGGGUGCUUUCACCUGCUGGCGAGUGGCGAACGAGUGAGUAAUACAUCUGAAUAUGUCCUGUAGUGGGCGAUAGUCCGGCGAAAGCCGCAUUGCUACCGCCUACGAUCAUCUUAUGACAGCGGGGUCCCUUCGGGCCUCCCGCUUUAGGGUUGCUCGAUGGCUGAUUAGCUAGUUGGUGGGGUAAAGGCCUACCAAGGCGACGAUCAGUAGCUGGUCUGAGAGGACGACCAGCCACACUGGGACUGAGACACGGCCCAGACUCCUACGGGAGGCAGCAGUAGGGAAUUUUGGACAAUGGGCGAAAGCCUGAUCCAGCAAUGCCGCGUGUGUGAAGAAGGCCUUCGGGUUGUAAAGCACUUUUGUCAGGGAAGAAAUACUUGGCUCUAAUACAGUCGGGGGAUGACGGUACCGGAAGAAUAAGCAACGGCUAACUACGUG
This 486-nucleotide ribosomal RNA is filed under the name uncultured bacterium. RNAcentral describes it as "partial 16S ribosomal RNA". It matches the Rfam family "Bacterial small subunit ribosomal RNA", at positions 30 to 507 of the family's 1533-position model. The record is from RNAcentral.